This 742-nucleotide ribosomal RNA is filed under the name uncultured bacterium. Its description in RNAcentral is "bacterial SSU rRNA". It matches the Rfam family "Bacterial small subunit ribosomal RNA", at positions 74 to 826 of the family's 1533-position model. The record is from RNAcentral.
AGGAGCUUGCUCUUGAUUAUUUUAGCGGCGGACGGGUGAGUAACGUGUGGGCAACCUGCCUUUUACUGGGGAAUAAUCACUGGAAACGGUGACUAAUACCGCAUACGGUUCUUGGAAGGCAUCUUCUAGGAAAGAAAGGAUUUAUUCGGUAAAAGAUGGGCCCGCAUCUGAUUAGCUAGUUGGUGAGAUAAUAGCCCACCAAGGCAACGAUCAGUAGCCGACCUGAGAGGGUGACCGGCCACAUUGGGACUGAGACACGGCCCAAACUCCUACGGGAGGCAGCAGUGGGGAAUAUUGCACAAUGGGGGAAACCCUGAUGCAGCAACGCCGCGUGAAGGAAGACGGUUUUCGGAUUGUAAACUUCUAUCAAUAGGGAAGAAAGAAAUGACGGUACCUAAAUAAGAAGCCCCGGCUAACUACGUGCCAGCAGCCGCGGUAAUACGUAGGGGGCAAGCGUUAUCCGGAAUUACUGGGUGUAAAGGGAGAGUAGGCGGCAAGGUAAGCGAUAUGUGAAAGCCUUAGGCUUAACCUGAGGAUAGCAUAACGAACUAUCUAGCUAGAGUACAGGAGAGGAAAGCGGAAUUCUUAGUGUAGCGGUGAAAUGCGUAGAUAUUAGGAAGAACACCAGUGGCGAAGGCGGCUUUCUGGACUGAAACUGACGCUGAGGCUCGAAAGCGUGGGGAGCGAACAGGAUUAGAUACCCUGGUAGUCCACGCUGUAAACGAUGAGUGCUAGGUGUCGA